RNAcentral lists this long non-coding RNA (5944 nucleotides) under Lupinus angustifolius (narrow-leaved blue lupine). Its description in RNAcentral is "long non-coding RNA (LANG_LNC002854)". The record is from RNAcentral. Lineage: Eukaryota; Viridiplantae; Streptophyta; Magnoliopsida; Fabales; Fabaceae.
ACAUUUUCAUAUCUUUUAUUCAGAUCAUUAAGCUCCUCUUUGAGACAGUAUAUUUCUUGCUGAAGGGCAUUUCUUUCAUUAACUCGCAGUUCAACCUCCUGUUCAAGUUUCUCUAUUAUCUCCCUCAGGUUUAAUAUCUCAUCUUGCAAAAUAUUUAUGGACAAAGAUGAAGAAAUCUUGUGCUCAUUUAGAAUUUUGUUUUCCUCCUUCACCUCGUGUACUUUAUCCUCUAAAGCGUGGUUACAGGAUUCCAUGCUCUCCAGGAUCUCUGCCUUACCAUGCAGGUCAGCAGCAAGAGAUCUAAGUUCUUCCUGAGAUUGUGAGUGCAAAUGCUGAAGAGUUUGGAAAGCAGUUUCGGCCUCAAUGAAUCGCAAUCUCUCCUCUUGUAAGGAAGUCCAAAGCUUACUCAAUUCCCUCUGCUUCUCACUAAGUUCUUCGCUUUGAGACCCUAACUUUUGCGCCAACGACUGCAAUUCAGACUGCAGAGUGUGAUUUGAUGUUUCCAAUAGAAGACACUUUUGUUCAGAACUAUGCAAUUUUUCAGCCCCAUCAUCUACCUUGGAAAUUAGCCUACACACCUCCUCUUCAUCACAAGAGAUUUUAUGCUGCAAACUGGAAAUUAUCUCCAAGCUUUGUUGAUAACGGAGAGCUGCAUCUUCCUUCUCUUCAAUAAGUUUAGCAACUUCUAACUUCAGCACCUCAAUUUCAUUCUCAGCUUUAUUAGCUUGCUCAGUAAUCCUUCUUGCGUUCUCCUCUGCUUCUUUUAAUCUCUCUUCCAGUUUUGAUAAUGACUCCAAGCACUGUGUAUAUUUAACAAGGGCAGCAUCCCUUUCAGCUUCUACUCUAGUAAGAGCCUGUUUUAGUGACCCGGAUUCAGUUUCAGCUAUAGUAGCUCGUUCAUUAAGUUCUCCUGCGCCCUUUUGAGCGAAAGAAAUAUUUUUCUCCAGGUUAGAUAUUUUAUCCAAGCAUUCCUCGUACUGAUUUAGACUAGCCUCCCUUUCAGCCUGUAAUCUGGUGAGGGCUUCCUUCAAGGCUAUAACUUCAGCUUCAGCUUUACUUGCUCUCUCAUCAAGCCCUUGAUAUUUCUCUCGUGCAUGAGACACUUCUGACUCCAAAUUAGACAAUCUCUCCAAACUCUGCUGAUACUGAAGCAAACCAUCUUCCUUUUCACUUUCUAAUUUGGUGAGGGCUUCCUUUAAGGCCAUAAUUUCUGUCUCGGCUUUUUUCACCUGUUCAGACUCAGACAAGACUUGAGUCCUGCUAUCAUGGCUUUCAUUGUUUAUCCCAUUACUCUCCUCCUGUGUACCAAGAAAAUUGAGCCCCCGUCUAGCAUGACCUCCAGCAAACUUCACAACAUUUACAUGUUCUCCGGGAAUGACAAGAUCAUUGAGCUGUUUCAAACCUGUCUUGUUUAUAGCAGAAUAAGGUCCUUCAGUAUGAGCUCCAUCUCUUUUCGUGGAAGGGAAAUGAGUAGAAGCAUCCUUCGGCAGUUCAUCUGUUUCGAGAAAUGCACGUGAAGGGUGGCGUGCAUCUGGAGUAUGUGGCUCGGCCUCAUUCUCAUCCAUCACGGGAAUUUGAUUAGGAAAUGCUUCAGACAUGGUCCGAUGGGCAUGCCGGAUCACUGCAGUUGCAUUAUCAUAUCUCUCAGCCAACGCCCGAUAUGCCCGGUAAAACUCUUCAACCAUUUUCAUAAGCUCUGGGCGUUUUUUAAAAUACAUUUCUGCUCUCCUGGCAAAGGAAUCUGCAUCUUCUUCAAUGAGCUUAAUCAUUUGCUUCACCUUGGAAUCCAUAUCUGUGAAAGAAGAUAUAUCAUUGUGAUAAGGUCAAGUAAGUCUAAAAACAAAAGGGCACCAAAUGGAUGAUAGCAGAAAAAAAAAACUACAUUGCCACAUCUUUCGGAGUAAUUAAGCAAAUAAAUGAUAUAAUUGGAAAGAAAAACGUAAUAAAGGAAGUAGAUAUGGUUUAACAUACAUACAGACUUCCACACAGUACACUUAAAGAGUACAGAACUGAUAUUUUGUAAAACUAAAUCAACUCUGUCUCCUCAUGCCUCAUUAUCUAUAGUUUAAAAAUGAAGAUAUAAACUAAAGAAAAUAUAAAAAAAUACAGAUACACAUUUGACACUUGUAGUCUUCUAUAAAAAUCCAUAUAUCCCUUUUAUGAAGCCUCAGCUUGAGUGCAUCAUGACAGCCACCAAAUUCUAAAGUGAAAUUUGUAAACAAGUCUCAACCAGAUUAUAUCAUUGUAUCAGGCAUUCAUUACAUUAUGAUUAAAUAAACUUCCAGAAAAUUAUAGGGCCUUGUAACAAUCUAAAUAAUGAUAUUAUAUAUGUGAGAUCAAAGAACUAAAAGAGGAAAAAAACUCAAUUAGACUAACUUCCCUGUUUAAUAAUGUAAGGAACAUUUAUAUUUAUACUAUGUUAAUAUGUUAAAGCACAAUUGUUACUAGAAAGAUAGAUUUACCAGUUCGAGACUUCCAUUUAUCUGCUUAACUGUCAUUUCAAUCACACUUAUCCUUUUCUGCAUGUCUUGGAAGUCCAGGAGUGCAUCUGGAGUCACAACAGUCUGAUCUUUACCUGUUUUCCGAUCAUCUUCGGUGGAUUGGUGAUUCACCAAAUUUUGAACCUAGAAAUGGUGAUUAUAAGAAAGCCAGAAUGUGACAAUUAAAAAUGCAAUAACAGUUUAUUGCAAGUUGAAAACAAUAUUAUAAAAUACCUACCAAUAACCCUCCUUCAACAUGCAAGGAAGCAGCACCCUACAUUUCUAAAAAGUUAUCUAGCAUGGAAAUUCUACAAAGAAGUUCAUCAAAAACUAAAUUAUGGAAGAAAAAACAAUUAGUUUAUUUUAUUCAAAUAGAUACGGAAACUGAUCUAAUCCUGAAAUAUUGGAAUCACUGAUAUAAUGUACCAUAUGCUAAAAACCCACGUUCUCAAAAUACUGGUAUAAUCAACAAGCAUAAGCAUGCAUCUUAACAUUGCAAAUUAUUAUUCUGUACAAAAAUGCUAAGUAUUUAACAAGGAUGGGGUAAACAAACGAUUUUUGAAACACCAUGACAUAAUUGAAGGUGCUAUUUUCCAAAUUUGUCAACAUGCAUUUUCAUGGGUACAGAUUGUUUUGAGGUCAUAUUAUGUGCCUGUAAGUAUCAGAAACAGAGAUAUUACAAGACCGUGGGCAUUUAACUCAAACAUCCAGUACAGUGCCUCAAAGCAUACUGGAGUGCAACACGUAUUGGGAUACCCGCCGCAUACAUGUCAAAUGUCAAACCCUGACAGCAAUUACAGAGAGAUACAAUAUGGAAUAAUAUGUGAUACCUUUGAUUCUUCAUACUGAUGAGAUUUUGCAUGUACAAGAGUAUACAUCUCCAAAGAUGUUAUACAAUCAUUCAAAGCACUGACGGCCGGGACAUAAGCAGCUAAAUGACCACAUAGUCUUUCAUUUUCACCUUCCAACUUGGUAACUCUUUCAUUCAGCAGUUCACUUUCUAUAUCUUUGGAGUAGUUUCGGCGUUCAAGAUUCUCACACGCAUCAGCUAGCUCAGAGACCUUCCCUUCAAACAAUGUUUCAUUGACAGCAGAAAUCUGCAGUUCGGCAUAAAGUGUUGCAGCCUGAGUUUCCCAUUGUUCAAUCUCAUCUUUUCCCUUAUGCAGCUCAUAACUUAGCUCUUUUUCCCUCAGUUUAGUUUCUGCAAGAUCUUGAUGUAGGUGCCUCAUUUCAGACUCCAGCUUCUGAUUCACUUCACGAAGACAACGAAGCUCUUCAUUUUGAUGAUCCAUGUCUGAGGAUAAUUUUAAAAUUUGAUCACCCUUGUCUUCAAGUACCACCCUGGCCUCAUCAUACUUAACCUUCAGAUCUUCCACCAUUCUUCGCGAUUCUGUUUUCUCAGACUGUAAUGUACAAAACAUCUUAGCUGCUUCCAAAAGCUCAUUUUCCCUUUGAGAUAGUAAUUCCUUUUCAGUCCUGAUCUGACAACUUAAUUGAUCAUUGACAGAUUCAACUAACUUUAGUUCAAUAUUCGAUUUUACAAAUGACUCUUUAAGAUUUGAGUUUUCCAUCUCUGCUUCCUCUAAUUUGCAUGCCAUUAUUUUUAAUCUCCCCUCAAGGUCAUUAUUCAUCAUUCGAAGUUUAUCGAGGCCUUCACCCAACUCUUUAAGUUCCAGGAGUUUUUCAAAGAUGAUGUUCUGGUAAAUCAGAGAAAUACUAGAUUGAGCUAUUGUCUCGUGGAUCACAAAAGAAAUUUCUUCUUCCAAGUUAAUUUUCUCUUCACCCAGAUCAGCAACUCUUUUCAUCAAGGACUUCUUCUCUUCAAGUGCCUUGCAACUUUCUUCCUGUAAGCUUUUGUGACCCUCUUCCAAGUCUGACCGCUGUUUGCAUAGAUUCUCUAUUUCAGUUGUCAUUACUUCCAUUCUCUCUUCUCCCUUUGCUAUUGUCAACUUCAACUCUCGAUUCUUCUCCAAUGUCUUUUCGGCCUCUAUUUGCAAUGCCAGGAACUGCUUAGACUGGAUCCUGAACUCCUCAUCAAGGGCAUCUCUUUCUGACACAACAGUUUCCACCUUUAAUUUCAACUGCCCAAGGAAUGUUACCAGAACCGAAUUCUCAACGAUCAGCUGCUGGUUUUCAUUGAAAGUUGUGACAAAGGACUUCUGUGUCUCCUGAAGUUUUCCAUGUAUAUGGUUCAGAAGCAUCUGGUCUUCUUCAAGCUUAUCCUCACACAAAUGCUUGCUGUUAAUGUCAAGAGUUUUCAACACCUGAAGCAGCCCAAUUCUUAGUAUUUUAGUUUUCUCAGAUAAAGAAUUCACAUCAACCUGCUUUUGAACAUUUUCAAUCUCCAAUGUAGAUAUCAUUCUCUCAGACAUUUCAGAUGCCUCUAAAAGUCUCUGACAUUCAACUACAAGGGAGAAGUUCUUUUCCUCCAAAUCCUGGAUACAUUUCUGCAAGAUGAAAAUUUCAGUUUGAGCAUGUACAGCUCUGUCAAGUUCCUCCCCAUAUUCCCUAUUCUGGCAAUUCACAUCUUUUUGUAGAGCAUCAAUUCGUAAUUCCUUGUCAGCCAAGUCAUCUUCAUUCAAUUUCAUAAUUCUGGAAUGCUCCUCCUUCUCAUAAUAUAACAAGACCAGUAGCUCCUCUAUCUUUAGAAGUGCAGACUCCUUUUCUCCUUUUAGUUCCAAAUGCUGUAGUUCCAACUCACUGUGUUGUUUCUCAAGAUCUUUCAGUGUUUGCUGAGUGAUGUUCAACUGUGAAACUAAGUUUUCUUUCUCAGAGAUGAUACUAGACUUCUCAUCAACAAUUAACUGGCAUGUGUCUUCUAAGAUCUUGGACUUUACCCUUAAUCCUUCGAGUUCAGCAUUCACAUCAAAAAGUGAAUUUUCCAAAAGUUUGUUCUUUUCUGAGAGCUUCUCCAAGUUUUCAACUGUGGCUUGUAACUGAGAAAACAAAGUGGCCUUCUCAGCAACAAGAGUUGUUUUUUCCUCAAGCAGAGAUCGGCAUGUUUCUUCCAACACAUUUACCAUUCCUCUCACACUCUCCAUCUCAGCAUUCAAGUCUGAAAGAGUAUUCUCCAAAACAGAAUUUUUCUCCAAAAGUUUCUCCAUGGUCUCCAAUUUGGCCAGAAGAGAUGCUUUCACACCUUUGUCAGCCUCACACGUCUCCUUCAGCUUUGAGUUCUCAUCUUGCAUUUGUUUCACAGAUGAGACAAAGUACUGUGGGUCUAAGCCAGUUGAUCUGACCUCCUCUACCACAUUUUCAUAUCUUUUAUUCAGAUCAUUAAGCUCCUCUUUGAGACAGUAUAUUUCUUGCUGAAGGGCAUUUCUUUCAUUAACUCGCAGUUCAACCUCCUGUUCAAGUUUCUCUAUUAUCUCCCUCAGGUUUAAUAUCUCAUCUUGCAAAAUAUUUAUGGACAAAGAUGAAGAAAUCUUGUGCUCAUUUAGAAUUUUGUUUUCCUCCUUCACCUC